This is a long non-coding RNA of Bos taurus (domestic cattle), 327 nucleotides long. The record is from Ensembl. NCBI's taxonomy places the organism in Eukaryota, Metazoa, Chordata, Mammalia, Artiodactyla, Bovidae.
ACUCUCUGGUGUGUUCCAAACGCUCCACUGCCCACAGUACCCCAGUAGCUACCACCCAAGUGGGCGAGGGCUCUCUUUUCCUUUUUCCUCCUUCUCCCUUGAGCUGAGGACCAGGCCAAUAAAACUGUGCAGGCACAGGAUUAAUUUACAGGAACCUAGGAGCAACCUCUGAAUCAUCCUAGAGAGUGCCUUCCAUGUUUCAGGGAAUUGCUAAAAGAGCUUUGACCCUACCUGAGAAAACAGAAACAUGCCUAGGAAAAAAAACCUGAGGUUAACGCCUAUCAUGUCCUUGAGAUACAGAGCCCACUCUGCCUGAGACUCCAGCUG